AGGAGCUCAGGGCAGCUGGAAGAGCUGUGCUCGCCUCCCCUCCCCCGUUGCAGGGGGCACUCCCACGACAACCUGCGAGAGCUCCCAGGGGUCCGCGGGAAACUGGCCAGCAUCCAGGCAAGCCUUUUCCAGAGCAGUGCCUGGAGCUGGGUGCACCUAGAGCUGCAGGCCGCGCCGGAGCCUCCUGGCCUGGGAUUCUCGCCCAAGCUCGCACCGAAAGGGGAUGGGUCAGACCUCGGCAGUGCUGGCUCCAGCCCAUUGGAGGUGGGCUCUUGCUCGCAGUGGGCAGCUGGUUGUGCCCCGACACAUUCUUGUGUGAGCCCUGGCUUCCUUCUUGGAGAGCAGUGACUUGCAUCUCAUCAGCGGGUUCCCAGUGGUGGGCUGGUGUCUGUCGGAAAUGGCACCUCGGACGUAGUGCCGCACAUGGCUGUCAGCUCACCUUCAUGCGAUAUGCAGUGUGAUCGCACUUGGUAACAUGCUACAAACGAACAAGAUGACCAGUCUUCUCUUCCGCCACUCUUUAUACAGGACAAGUGACGGGAAACAACGAAGUGACUUAAUGAAGAAGUACUAUGAAAAUAGAGUUGAAUUCCACUUUGAACCAUAAAAAUGUCAUUUCCAAUAGUACCAGGGAAAUGCAUCUAUACCUGCCAGCCUGAUCAUCCUGAGAGACUUUAAGUCCUGUAGCUUUUAAGGCUGUGAAGGAAUCCAUCAGCAAGCUUAGGCAGUACUCUUCUAUGUAUUAGUAACUAACUGAAGUAUUACAGCUCUACAGACUUGCCCACAGUUGACUGGUUGAAUGGGAAAAGUACAUUUUUGUGUGUGUGAAUUUUAAUGCUCCUGAAUGAUGCUGGCUGAAAGUCCUGGAGAAUGCAAUCCAGAGAUCCAAUACAGCAGUAAUGCGAGUUUGUUGCCCUGCCUUGUGCUUCACUCAACUAUAGAAGUACGAUCACAUCUAAAGCUCAGCCCUGGAAGAGCAAGUCAAGCCGCUAGCCCGAGGGGAGAGCUGUGGGAUCCGUCACACAGGCGGGGAGCUAGGAGCGAGCGUCCUGUCACGCUGCAAAUUGCUGAGUACGUUGCUUGCUCCCGCCGAGGACAGUGACUGCCGGUAUUGUCAGACCCUGCUGGGGAGCUCUCCUGGCAGCCCCCUCCUGGAUCAAGACAGCCAAGUGCUGGCAGGGACACAACACAGCACAGCUAUAAGGCAGCAGAGAAAUGACUCCGUCGUAGCCCGAGCAGUGAAACCGAACGGCCUGCCAUCUGAUCUUCACAGCAGGGUUAGCUGAAAACGUUAGUAGCUUCAGACGCUACGUCAGGGCAGCACCAGCCACCACUGGGGCAGCGAGCAGCAACUCAGCCACAGCCCCGUCAGCUUUGCCACAGUUGCGGGGAAGAGUCAUUUUGGCCAGGGACGCCGGGUCAGACGCCUGAGUGCCGAGGGACGCUGCUGUGCCCAAGGAGCGGCCAGCUCUUCGCUGAAAGACCCAGGCAGGAGGAUCACCAGUCAGUACUGCAAACCCAGACAUUUGCUCUUACGGGGGUGAACCCAUUUUAAGGUUACCAACACCGCUAGUGACAAACUCCACUCCAUGAGGCCAUCGGAUCUGCGUUUUCCAGUCGGCGGAGAUUCACGAGAUUGCAGUUUAAACCUGUCCAGCUUCUCUUCUCCUUUGGCACCUCUCACCCGCCUUGUCUGCAAAGGAGAGAACUGGGCACAGCUCCCCUUAGCUCUCUAGAUCAGUGGUUCUCAGCCGUGGGCCAUAUGGCUCCCCAGGGGCCACGCCCUACCUCUAGGGGGCCACAUGGGAAAAACGGAACAGUAGGUAAAUGAUGGACCUUUUCUUCCAACUGACUGCGGCUCUGAGGGGGCCACAGAGGUAAACGAGGCUCAGAAGGGGGCCGUGAGCAAAAAAAGGUUGAGAACCACUGAUCUAGAUCACACUUAAUGCAUAUUGGAGACAUGAAAUCUUUGGAUAAGUUCUGAAUCAAGUCCCGGUAAACCAGAGUCUCUCCAGCGCGCCAGAGGGCCGAUAGUGCACUGAGUGGUGUAGCACCCGGCGCUCUCACGUGACUAACGGCUGACAGGUGAUCUGACACUUCCCUCGGCCCAUUCGCUCCUCCUCCACUCCCCGUUGACACGACACUUCCCGUGGAUUCCCAGGUUGACGUCACACACAAGCAUCAGCACUUCCGCCCUGUUCUUGUGGAAGUUGCC
Non-coding RNA from Pelodiscus sinensis (Chinese soft-shelled turtle), 2215 nucleotides. Lineage: Eukaryota; Metazoa; Chordata; Testudines; Trionychidae. The record is from RefSeq and is a predicted model, not a curated record.